GUAUAAAUUAAAUCGGCGCGUUGCCUUUUGGGGUGACGUUCCGGAGUUUGGGUCAUCUUUAAAGUCUUUUCUGGAUUUCGAGAGACCUAAAAUUGACAUCUUUUUUGCGCACUUCUGGACGUACAUAAUUUUUAUUUCGUCUAUUCGGGUGACAAAAAUUAUUAGACGCGACCAUGUCAAGCGGUUUCGUGUUUAUAAGAUUUCAUA
Molecule: unclassified non-coding RNA, 207 nt
Filed under: uncultured Glomeraceae
Lineage: Eukaryota; Fungi; Glomeromycota; Glomeromycetes; Glomerales; Glomeraceae
Description: sequence contains ITS2
Source: RNAcentral